RNAcentral lists this ribosomal RNA (253 nucleotides) under uncultured bacterium. RNAcentral describes it as "partial 16S ribosomal RNA". It matches the Rfam family "Bacterial small subunit ribosomal RNA", at positions 524 to 776 of the family's 1533-position model. The record is from RNAcentral.
UACGAAGGGUGCAAGCGUUACUCGGAAUUACUGGGCGUAAAGCGCGUGUAGGCGGCUGACUAAGUCCGCUCUGAAAGCCCGGGGCUCAACCCCGGGAGGCGGGUGGAUACUGGUCAGCUCGAGUCCGGAAGAGGAGUGUGGAAUUCCUGGUGUAGCGGUGAAAUGCGCAGAUAUCAGGAGGAACACCAAUGGCGAAGGCAGCACUCUGGGACGGUACUGACGCUGAGACGCGAAAGCGUGGGGAGCAAACAGG